This is a non-coding RNA of Coturnix japonica (Japanese quail), 1166 nucleotides long. The record is from RefSeq and is a predicted model, not a curated record. Lineage: Eukaryota; Metazoa; Chordata; Aves; Galliformes; Phasianidae.
AGCAUUUCUGUCUUUGGUGUGCAAUGGAGAUGCUGCUGUCGGUGUUCAGCCCAUAGGAGUGUCAUACAGCUGCAAAGAAGAGGAUGGACUCAAAGCAUCACUGCGCGGUGCGACUGAGACUGUGGGGUGAAUGCACAGAGGAUUGGAGAUGCUGGGAGAAAGCAUAAGCAGUCCUUGAAGAUGAGGUAGGAGGGAUGGCAGUAACAGAAGAGCACAGCUGAAUCUCAAGAUCUCAAGACAGCAGGAGUCUGAGCAUUUAAAUAGGCCUUUGCCAUGCUGGAGCAUUCCAAGCAGUGUGUUCUUCAAGUUUGAGUUCCUCUAGGAUGGAUGGUGAAAAGGUCACAACAGAAUUACAGGAGAAGCUUGUCCAGAGAUCACAGGCAAAAGCUGUUUUCGGAGCAGUUUUUCCAGACAAAACAUAAUCAAAGGCAACAACAACAUUUUGCCUUUAACGAGAAAGGCCAUGUAAGAUUUCAGUGCAUCGGCUCAGCCUGGAGAACAGGAGGACACAGAACCUCAGCGCAGGGAGUGCCCCUACCUGUCAGCUCCUUGUGACUGCUCCAUGGAUGGUGGCACUGGGGGCACUGGAAAUAACAGCCUGGGAUCCUGCCAAGAUCUGAUGCUACAGAUUAUAGAUAACAUCUGCAACUAGAAGAACUAACAGUGCUGCUGUGUUAAAGAACAAAGGAGGCCAUGAUUGUUCCCAGGCAGCAGCUGGAGCAUGCAGGUAAGUGUAGCACAGCCAGCGGGGAUGCAGGCAUUCCUAGUCAAAGAGGACAAGCCUGAAAGUGAAGUCUGAAGUAUAUUUAAGCAAAUCUUUGGGUUUUUUCCCCCUGUUUUCAAAAAUACGAUCAAUAUUGGCCACCCUUCUGAGGCUCUUGUUAGAUGUUUUUAUUGCACAUCACUCACCUGUACAAGGACAAAUGGGUCUCUCCAUGGAGAACUGAUUCCCAGCUGCUGUGCUGGAUGCUGAGCCCAAUGGGGCUCUGCUGCUUUCCACUGUUUACAAGCACUAUUUAAACAGUGAGUCUGCAGUAGAGCACCUCCCAGGGUAUUUUCACAUGAGAACACCCCUUUCCCAGCGAACUAUCAGGGGGUAGCAUGAAUUAUUUUAACGGCUCCAUCACUUCAGCCAAAGCCUCCACCAUCUGCUAUACAUCCUAAUU